UAGGGAAUCUUCCGCAAUGGACGCAAGUCUGACGGAGCAACGCCGCGUGAGUGAAGAAGGUUUUCGGAUCGUAAAACUCUGUUGUAAGAGAAGAACAAAUUGUAGAGUAACUGCUACAGUCUUGACGGUAUCUUACCAGAAAGCCACGGCUAACUACGUGCCAGCAGCCGCGGUAAUACGUAGGUGGCAAGCGUUGUCCGGAUUUAUUGGGCGUAAAGGGGGCGCAGGCUGCUUCUUAAGUCUGAUGUGAAAGCCCACGACUUAACCGUGGAAGUGCAUUGGAAACUGGGAAGCUUGAGUACAGAAGAGGAAAGUGGAACUCCAUGUGUAGCGGUGGAAUGCGUAGAUAUAUGGAAGAACACCAGUGGCGAAAGCGACUUUCUGGUCUGUCACUGACGCUGAGGCCCGAAAGCGUGGGUAGCAAACAGG
This 429-nucleotide ribosomal RNA is filed under the name Verrucomicrobiota bacterium. RNAcentral describes it as "Verrucomicrobia bacterium partial 16S ribosomal RNA". It matches the Rfam family "Bacterial small subunit ribosomal RNA", at positions 355 to 776 of the family's 1533-position model. The record is from RNAcentral. Lineage: Bacteria; Pseudomonadati; Verrucomicrobiota.